Long non-coding RNA from Xenia sp. Carnegie-2017, 409 nucleotides. RefSeq lists it as uncharacterized. The record is from RefSeq and is a predicted model, not a curated record. NCBI's taxonomy places the organism in Eukaryota, Metazoa, Cnidaria, Anthozoa, Malacalcyonacea, Xeniidae. The transcript is spliced from 3 exons.
UAUUGCUUUUGUAUUUAUGUUAGCAAGUAAUUUUUAGAUUAUGAACAAAGUUCUCCGCUGAGGUUGAUGUUUUACUAAUUUUAGAGAUAAUCAUGAAGAGAAAGCAAAAUGUAUCUGUGUUUAAUAAGAGGCAACGCAGUGGAAAGUUUCUCGUUCAUCGACAAUGAAGAAGUUUUGAUGGUAUGCUGUAUACAAGCUGUGGAGUUGUUACCCGGUGGUGGUAUAAUUGACACAGGUUGAGGAGCUGGUUGUAUUUGCUGUAGAGGGUAACCGGGCUGAGAUUGAUGAAUAGAUUGAUCAGAGAUAAUCGUGAAGAGAAAGCAAAAUGUAUCUGUGUAUAAAAAGACACAACGCAGUGGAAAGUUCUUCGUUCAUCGACAAUCAAGAAGCUUUGAUGGUGUGCUGUAUA